GGAAGCGCAGCUCGAAUAGUGGAGCGCACGCUUGAUAAGCGUGAGGGUGAAGGUGCAAGUCCUUCCGCUUCUACCA
RNAcentral lists this transfer RNA (76 nucleotides) under Actinomycetota bacterium. RNAcentral describes it as "tRNA-Ile". It matches the Rfam family "tRNA". Rfam says of the family: Transfer RNA (tRNA) molecules are approximately 80 nucleotides in length. Lineage: Bacteria; Bacillati; Actinomycetota. The record is from RNAcentral.